ACACGACUACAUUAGAUACCCGCGUAGUCCUGGCCGUAAACGAUGUGGACUUGGUGUUGGAAUGGCUCCGAGCUGCUCCAGUGCCGAAGGGAAGCUGUUAAGUCCACCGCCUGGGAAGUACGGUCGCAAGACUGAAACUUAAAGGAAUUGCGGGGAGCACCACAACGCGUGGAGCCUGCGGUUUAAUUUGGAUUCAACGCCGGACAUCUCACCAGGGCGACAGCAGAAUGAUGGCCAGGUUGAUGACCUUGCUUGACAAGCUG
Molecule: ribosomal RNA, 263 nt
Filed under: uncultured archaeon
Lineage: Archaea
Description: partial 16S ribosomal RNA
Rfam family: Archaeal small subunit ribosomal RNA
Source: RNAcentral